RNAcentral lists this ribosomal RNA (1004 nucleotides) under Escherichia coli. RNAcentral describes it as "partial 23S ribosomal RNA". It matches the Rfam family "Bacterial large subunit ribosomal RNA", at positions 1 to 1034 of the family's 2925-position model. Lineage: Bacteria; Pseudomonadati; Pseudomonadota; Gammaproteobacteria; Enterobacterales; Enterobacteriaceae. The record is from RNAcentral.
GGGUUGUGAGGUUAAGCGACUAAGCGUACACGGUGGAUGCCCUGGCAGUCAGAGGCGAUGAAGGACGUGCUAAUCUGCGAUAAGCGUCGGUAAGGUGAUAUGAACCGUUAUAACCGGCGAUUUCCGAAUGGGGAAACCCAGUGUGAUUCGUCACACUAUCAUUAACUGAAUCCAUAGGUUAAUGAGGCGAACCGGGGGAACUGAAACAUCUAAGUACCCCGAGGAAAAGAAAUCAACCGAGAUUCCCCCAGUAGCGGCGAGCGAACGGGGAGCAGCCCAGAGCCUGAAUCAGUGUGUGUGUUAGUGGAAGCGUCUGGAAAGGCGCGCGAUACAGGGUGACAGCCCCGUACACAAAAAUGCACAUGCUGUGAGCUCGAUGAGUAGGGCGGGACACGUGGUAUCCUGUCUGAAUAUGGGGGGACCAUCCUCCAAGGCUAAAUACUCCUGACUGACCGAUAGUGAACCAGUACCGUGAGGGAAAGGCGAAAAGAACCCCGGCGAGGGGAGUGAAAAAGAACCUGAAACCGUGUACGUACAAGCAGUGGGAGCACAGAGCAAUCUGUGUGACUGCGUACCUUUUGUAUAAUGGGUCAGCGACUUAUAUUCUGUAGCAAGGUUAACCGAAUAGGGGAGCCGAAGGGAAACCGAGUCUUAACUGGGCGUUAAGUUGCAGGGUAUAGACCCGAAACCCGGUGAUCUAGCCAUGGGCAGGUUGAAGGUUGGGUAACACUAACUGGAGGACCGAACCGACUAAUGUUGAAAAAUUAGCGGAUGACUUGUGGCUGGGGGUGAAAGGCCAAUCAAACCGGGAGAUAGCUGGUUCUCCCCGAAAGCUAUUUAGGUAGCGCCUCGUGAAUUCAUCUCCGGGGGUAGAGCACUGUUUCGGCAAGGGGGUCAUCCCGACUUACCAACCCGAUGCAAACUGCGAAUACCGGAGAAUGUUAUCACGGGAGACACACGGCGGGUGCUAACGUCCGUCGUGAAGAGGGAAACAACCCAGACCG